Molecule: ribosomal RNA, 636 nt
Filed under: Triticum aestivum (bread wheat)
Lineage: Eukaryota; Viridiplantae; Streptophyta; Magnoliopsida; Poales; Poaceae
Description: partial small subunit ribosomal RNA
Source: RNAcentral
AUGGACCUUGUCUCUCUCUGUAGACAGAGGAGGAGAGGAGUACCCAGCAGCAGCAGCAGCUCUCUCUGCAAUCAGCAGCCACACCACCACCAGGAUCACUCACUUCAGCUACUCAGUUUAGCUAUGAGAACCUUUUCUAGGCACGCUAGUAUCACGAAGCUUCCCAGUAGCACCAACUCCAACCAGCAGCAGCAGCACAACACCUCCACUUUCUCCAAUAAGCAGAAUCAGCGGCAACUCCAGCUCCAGCAGCACCUCAGCACCAGGACAAAGAUGAAGCCCAGCCGCCGCUCACUAAACCACAGCUCCACGCGCCGCCAUGCCCGCGCACCUCCGUGGCCGCUCAGGAGCAGCCCACGCCGCUGUGCGCAGCACCAUGCCUCCACUGCACUCAGCAGCACCACUACCACACAGUCUGCCCUGGCGCACCUCCCAGCAAGCUCACCGCCAGCCGCUCGACCGAGCUCGCCAGUCGCACACUGCCCCGCCAGAGGACUGCCCCGGACGUCCCCUCCCCCCUUCCCGUCGGGCCCUGCCGUCGCCGAAUACACUCAGUUUCCUACUCAUUUAAUUCUGCAGGUGGAAGCUUCUGAGCAUAAUCUAUAUCUACUGCGCCAUGCUCCAGUAGUGUUUUAG